CGUUGUACCAGCCGUGAAUCGCUGCCGUCUCCUUAAAGGCCGGCUGCCGUGCCCAAAUCCUAGCAUCUGGGUGGAACAGUGAUUGAUUCUACAGCCUCACAACUUCAGCAGCUCCCUCUGAUGAUGUCACUUCCAUCCCUUCUUGAUGACUUCCUUCUCUUUAGAACCCACCUACCGAAGACAUCACUUCCACUUCCAGCCACUGUUAUCAUUCCUUUUC
This is a long non-coding RNA of Polypterus senegalus (gray bichir), 220 nucleotides long. RefSeq lists it as uncharacterized. The record is from RefSeq and is a predicted model, not a curated record. The transcript has 3 exons. Lineage: Eukaryota; Metazoa; Chordata; Cladistia; Polypteriformes; Polypteridae.